UUUCCGUAGGUGAACCUGCGGAAGGAUCAUCAUCAAGUUUUAACUAAUAUCAAGGACUCUGUGAGGGGCAACCUUUGCAGAUUCUCCUUGGUAUUUAACCAAUGUGAAUUGGGGGAAGUAUAUUGAAGGACGCAAGUCUUGACUAUAUAUUGAACUCAUUUUUUCUCGAUGCAAAGACCAAUGUGUGUCAAAGCACAUAUGUUUUAGUGUCUUGAGAGAUAUUAACUAUUAAAAGAGUCGGAUAAAAAACAAAAAAUUAAAAACAACUUUUAACAAUGGAUCUCUUGGCUCUU
This 293-nucleotide unclassified non-coding RNA is filed under the name plant metagenome. RNAcentral describes it as "partial contains small subunit ribosomal RNA, internal transcribed spacer 1, and 5.8S ribosomal RNA". The record is from RNAcentral.